This 27-nucleotide non-coding RNA is filed under the name Cricetulus griseus (Chinese hamster). Lineage: Eukaryota; Metazoa; Chordata; Mammalia; Rodentia; Cricetidae. The record is from RNAcentral.
GUCUCUGAGAUUAGAACGACGGUGUAG